CGCUUUUGGAGGGGGGUGCGUCCUAUCAGGUAGUUGGUGUGGUAAUAGCUCACCAAGCCUAUGACGGGUAGCCGGUCUGAGAGGAUGUCCGGCCGCAAUGGAACUGAGACACGGUCCAUACUCCUACGGGAGGCAGCAGUGGGGAAUCUUGCGCAAUGGGCGAAAGCCUGACGCAGCAAUCCCGCGUGAAGGAUGAAGCAUUAUGGUGUGUAAACUUCUUUUCUGGUGGAAGACGAAUGACGGUACACCAGGAAUAAGGGACGGCUAACUACGUGCCAGCAGCCGCGGUAAUACGUAGGUCCCAAGUGUUAUCCGGAAUUACUGGGCGUAAAGAGUCUGUAGCCGGGUUUGUAAGUCUGUUUUCAAAUCCUAUGGCUUAACCAUAGAGAGGGAAUGGAUACUGCAAACCUUGAGAUUAUCGGGGGUUGAUGGAAUUUCCGGUGGAGCGGUGAAAUGCGUUGAUAUCGGAAGGAACGCCAAAAGUGAAAGCAGUCAACUACAAUAAAUCUGACGGUCAGAGACGAAAGCUUGGGGAGCAAACGGGAUUAGAUACCCCGGUAGUCCAAGCCGUAAAUUAUGCAUGCUAGGUGUCUUGUUCACUUUAUGUGAGCGGGGUGCCGUAAUCUAACGAGUUAAGCAUGCCGCCUGGGUAGUAUAUUCGCAAGAAUGAAACUCAAAGGGAUAGGCGGGGGAACACACAAGCAGUGGAUUGUCUCGAUUAAUUGGAUAAUAAGCCAAGAAUCUUACCUAGACUUGACAUAUAUUGUGUCCUACGUGACAGUGUAGUAAUCCCGAUUUUGUCGGGAUACGAUAUACAGGUGGUGCAUGGUCGUCGUCAGCUCGUGCCGCAAGAUGUCCAGUUAAGUCUGGGAACGAGCGCAACCCUCGUUGUUAGUUA
RNAcentral lists this ribosomal RNA (898 nucleotides) under uncultured organism. RNAcentral describes it as "bacterial SSU rRNA". It matches the Rfam family "Bacterial small subunit ribosomal RNA", at positions 216 to 1117 of the family's 1533-position model. The record is from RNAcentral.